Molecule: ribosomal RNA, 388 nt
Filed under: uncultured eukaryote
Lineage: Eukaryota
Description: partial 18S ribosomal RNA
Rfam family: Eukaryotic small subunit ribosomal RNA
Source: RNAcentral
CAAUAGCGUAUAUUAAAGUUGUUGCAGUUAAAAAGCUCGUAGUUGGAUUUCUGAUCGAGACAUCAGGUCGGGUCCGAGAGGAUCAAGUACUUUGAUUUUGUUUUGAUCAUCCUUGGGGAGAGCAUUUCUGGCAUUCAGUUGUCGGGAUUGGGAUCCUCAUCGUUUACUGUGAAAAAAUUAGAGUGUUCAAAGCAGGCCUCGGCCUCUGAAUACAUUAGCAUGGAAUAAUAAGAUAGGACUUUGGUGGUCUAUUUUGUUGGUUUGCACGCCAAAGUAAUGAUUAAUAGGGAUAGUUGGGGGUAUUCGUAUUCAAUUGUCAGAGGUGAAAUUCUUGGAUUUAUGGAAGACGAACUACUGCGAAAGCAUUUACCAAGGAUGUUUUCAUUAA